Long non-coding RNA from Astatotilapia calliptera (eastern happy), 1116 nucleotides. NCBI's taxonomy places the organism in Eukaryota, Metazoa, Chordata, Actinopteri, Cichliformes, Cichlidae. The record is from Ensembl.
CCGGCUCGCGUCGUUCACGUCAAAGAUCCGGCUCUGACACAUUUCGUUCGCGACCGACACAUCACUACUGCGUAUAUAUGAAUGUGGAUCGCAUCAUUGGCUGGACUAUGGGAUAAGGUGGCAUCGUUCUAAUCCCAUACAGGAGCAGUCAGUCACUGACUAACACUGCAAAACAUGAUUGUUAAAGUAUUCAUUUUAAUUUCAAGUCAGGUUAGAUUUUUUCUUUUUUGUGCGCAACGCAGAGACCGUGCCAGCAGUGCGCAAUUGCGCACAGGGCGCAGCUUAGAGGGAACAAUGCCCAUCGGCAAGAAAUUUACAUCAGUCCUUAAAACAGGAUUCAAACCUUCCACUUGCAGAGCUGCUAAAACCUGAACCACAAACUUCACCCUGUACUGAAAAAGUCUUCACUGCUAUUUUUCUACAGAUCAUCACUGAAAACAUUCAAACUGACUCAUCAUGGAGUCGUUUUUCCUUCGAACUACAAACAGGACAUUAAAUGUGUGUUUUAAGACAAAGUCACGCCCACACUGAAAGAAGGAUGUGUGUUUAGCACACGUCCUUAACCAACAGCCUGUUGGUCCAGCUGUGAGUCCGUUACCGUGAACUAUGGAGCGGCAGAUGUGUGCUGUUGGUGCUGGAACUAAGCUGCACACAGCUGAUGUUAGCCAGGAAACAUUAAAGACUGCUAAGGUUACCUUCACACGGAGCUUCACACGGAGACGAUCAGUCAGCAGAAACGGGUAGUUCAGGAAAGAGAAAGUAAAGUUUGAGCAGGAAGGAAACACCCACAGGGUUGUGUAACGUUACCGUUAGAAACUGUCAGUGCUGCAUUCAGGUGCACGUGGGAAACUCCCAAAUCUCUGCUGCAGUAACAUGUUGAUGCUGUGCAUCAGCUCAGCUCCACAAAUGACCUUUAGACUGAGGUCACUUCCGGUCACUGUCCUGACAGAGUCUUCAAAGGCUGAUGACAUCACAGCGACGAAGGCCGCCCUGAUCCGUCUCUCCAGCAGACAAACAUGAUGUGUUUUGGGUUUCAGUCACUAAGUGCCACAGUUUCAUCAUCGCUUUUUAAAGAGGGAACUUCAUCUGACACAUUUUCACAGCUUUGAAGUGGAA